GCGGCCGUAGCCUAACGGUUAUCGCGUUUGCCUCGCACGCGAAUGGCCAGGGUUCGAUUCCUGGCCGUGGCU
Molecule: non-coding RNA, 72 nt
Organism: Ixodes scapularis (black-legged tick)
Lineage: Eukaryota; Metazoa; Arthropoda; Arachnida; Ixodida; Ixodidae
Source: Rfam